Molecule: ribosomal RNA, 253 nt
Filed under: uncultured bacterium
Lineage: Bacteria
Description: partial 16S ribosomal RNA
Rfam family: Bacterial small subunit ribosomal RNA
Source: RNAcentral
UACAGAGGGUGCAAGCGUUGUUCGGAAUUAUUGGGCGUAAAGCGCGUGUAGGCGGCUUGGCAAGUCGGGUGUGAAAGCCCUCAGCUUAACUGAGGAAGUGCGCCCGAAACUGCUUUGCUUGAGUACCGGAGAGGAUGGCGGAAUGCCCCAAGUAGAGGUGAAAUUCGUAGAUAUGGGGCGGAACACCGGUGGCGAAGGCGGCCAUCUGGACGGAUACUGACGCUGAGACGCGAAAGCGUGGGUAGCAAACAGG